UUAGAAGUUUGAUGAUUUUACAUACUAGAUUUGCUUUUUGAGCGCAAGUUUUGUAAGAAAUUGCAACAAAAUAGUGACAUUGUAUGUGUAAACAAACAAUACCAUCCAUUAAAGGCUCCAGACAUCAGUAUGGAGUAGAAUCAGCGCAAUAAAAAAAUAGCGCAAUAUUUUGUUGCAAUUUCUUACAAAACAUGCGCGCAAAAAGCAAAUCUAGUAUGUAAAAUCAUCAAACUUCUAAUGCUCGUAACUCAGUUCAGACUGAGUUUAGAGGUAUACAUGCCGUAGUAAGUUUGGUUUAUUACACUAUUUCGUAAUCAAAAAACAAAGUUUGGUCGAUGGCCGCGCGAAAAAAAAAAGACGCCACCUUCCAUACAAAAUCUGGCAUUGCCUUUUGGAGCUGACUGUACAUUAGAGCAGCGGUUCCCGAAAGGUGGUCCGCGGAACCCUGGGGUUCCGUGGAAAGGCCGCAAGGGUUCCGUAAAAAAUAUUAUCCCACGUUUCGUGACCGACGUUGUUCGCUCGCACCGACUUGUUUACGCACAAGGGAGGGGCAGGGCGUGCGGGCGGAGUAGUACGGGGGUUCCGCUAGGAAAAGUAUAAUCAAUUAGGGUUCCUUGGCAAAAAAAAAAUUGGGAAACCCUGCAUUAGAGGGUCGUGCUCCUGGAGUGGAGACUCAAUGACCUGAUGAAUGAUUCAUUCAAUCAUACCAAUCACAGAAUAAUCUAUGAUUGAGGAAUUUAGUUUUGUGCAUUUUGUGAUACGGAUUUUAGUCUUGUAGGCCUUGGAUGCGCGCCGCGAUAUCUUUUGUCGCACCUUUUAUCGAUAACCGCCUCUGUGGUCUAGUGGUAAGACCACCUGUUUCAGACGUAGAGAUCUCGGGUUCGAUUUCCAGUGGGGGCAGAUUUUUCUGUUCGGUUUGGUUGGUGGUAGGGCUUGUUCUAAGUCCGCCUGGCUAGCUACCACCAUCUUACCUAAGUCUGUCGCCAUAACAACAAUGUUAACAGCAUUGUUGUGUUCCGGCAGUUAGAGGUAAGAUAGCCAGUACCUCCGUGGUUGAGACUCGUUGUGGAUAAAAAAAAUCCUACGCGAUAAGCCCAUACAUUUGUCGUCUAUAUCGAUAAGAUUAUAUCACGGCAUCCUAGUCCGACUGGGCUGUAUAUUUCGUGGUAAUUUUAUGUUUGUUAACUAAAAGCGGAUGUAAAUAAUUUUAGUUGGUUUAAAUAUCGGUGUUUUAGACCGAUUGUAUGGGGAACUAUCUUCGAAACGUUCAAAUCUGACUACUAAUACAGAAUAAAAAAAAAUAUGAUCUAAUAGAAUUCAAAGACGAAAUGAGAUUUUUUAAAUGUAUUUUUGUGUAUUUAAGUAUCCCUGUAUUUCAGUUAUAUGUCUGAUACUAGUGUUGUUUAAAUAUCGAUAGAUAAUUUUAUCGACAAUAUUAUCGGUUCGUCCAGUACCAUCGAUAUACACAUCACUAGUUAUCUCACUUACAACACAAAGCUAUUAGAUGUAGGAAUAUUUUCAAUGAAGUUACCUCUUCGUUUGUUUAUAAUCAUUUCGACCGUGUAGAAUACAAAUAAACAAUAGGUUAUAAUAUUUUGAAUCUCAAUAAUUUACUUUUACUGUCUGUAUAAAGGUCGUAGCACACUUAUCAACCCGGAAAGGGAUCGUAACCGUAUCAACUCCAGGCGGUCAGUAUUCUUCAGUGAAGCUAUACUACGACGCACACUUAUCUUAUACACAACCCUCGCCUCGCCAAUUGUCAGCGCGCGAAAGGUGAUACGGUGUUUAUCCCUUUCCGAGUUGAUAAGUCUGCUAUGACCUUAAUAGGGUUAAAUUUUCUCAAACUCUCCUGACCUGGACACCACUGUGUGUAUGUAGCUAAAGUCCGGUCGCCGAGCACAUAGAAUUUCGUCUAAUGACCCCAAGCUACCCAUCCUUGUCGCUCGCGCGUAAUUAUAUUGCAGUCGCGACUGUGCGACGGGCGGCCGCAGUGAGUGUGCUAGCAGUGAAUGUGCGUUCGGCGACCGGACUUUAGUAAUGUAAAAUAGUGAUAGAGCCUGUAAUCCACGGCAACUGUAAAGUUUUUAAAGUGAUAAGCUAGAUUUAUGACCAUGUUUUAAAACAUAGUACAUAGGGAUUGAAUGUAAGCGUGUAUUAAUGUGUUUAUUUUUAAUGUAUGUGUCUAUUGGAAAAAUUGUUACCGAUACCAAUACCGAAAGUGUUGUUUAUUGAUGUAACGUCGAAAUUAACGUAUAAAUAGGUAAUGUAUCAAAAAUAUCCAGUUUUGAGACGGUGGGUACAGACAUGGAGUACCAAAAAAUGCAUAGUGCAGUAUUUUGUUGUUUCUUAAUAAACUAUUUUUGUUGACAUUUUA
Molecule: long non-coding RNA, 2374 nt
Organism: Ostrinia nubilalis (European corn borer)
Lineage: Eukaryota; Metazoa; Arthropoda; Insecta; Lepidoptera; Crambidae
Exons: 2
Source: RefSeq, a predicted model, not a curated record